AUAUUUUAGAGCACUGUGGUUUAAAAAUGUAUCAUAUUAUUUUGCUAGCUGUUAUCACUUUGCCUUAAUGUCUUUUUCUCUUUACAGAAAAAAAAGUACAGUAUUCCUGGUCAGGGGACGAAAGGUGCAAUAAAUGGAAUAUGGCAAGAUAUCACUGUCUUUGAUGUCUGAUAUUCACAUCUUGAAGAUUGUUGUUUGCUGUAUGUUAUCCAAUUUCUUAGUAAUUUCAGGUAAGAGGGC
Molecule: long non-coding RNA, 240 nt
Filed under: Callithrix jacchus (white-tufted-ear marmoset)
Lineage: Eukaryota; Metazoa; Chordata; Mammalia; Primates; Cebidae
Description: lncRNA (ENSCJAG00000083415.1)
Source: RNAcentral